UUGAUCCUGGCUCAGGAUGAACGCUGGCGGUCUGCUUAACACAUGCAAGUCGAACGCAACCUUCGGGUUGAGUGGCGGACGGGUGAGUAACGCGUGAGAAUCUGCCUUGGGGUCGGGGACAACCACUGGAAACGGUGGCUAAUACCGGAUAAGCCUUUGGGUAAAAGAUUUAUUGCCCCAAGAGGAGCUCGCGUCUGAUUAGCUAGUUGGUGAGGUAAGAGCUCACCAAGGCAGCGAUCAGUAGCUGGUCUGAGAGGACGAUCAGCCACACUGGGACUGAGACACGGCCCAGACUCCUACGGGAGGCAGCAGUGGGGAAUUUUCCGCAAUGGGCGAAAGCCUGACGGAGCAAGACCGCGUGAGGGAGGAAGGCUCUUGGGUUGUAAACCUCUUUUCUCAGGGAAGAAGCUCUGACGGUACCUGAGGAAUCAGCCUCGUGCUAACUCCGUGCCAGCAGCCGCGGUAAUACGGAGGAGGCAAGCGUUAUCCGGAAUUAUUGGGCGUAAAGCGUCCGCAGGUGGCGAUUCAAGUCUGCUGUCAAAGCACGGGGCUUAACUCCGUUAAGGCAGUGGAAACUGAAUAGCUAGAGUGCCGUAGGGGUAGAGGGAAUUCCCGGUGUAGCGGUGAAAUGCGUAGAGAUCGGGAAGAACAUCGGUGGCGAAAGCGCUCUACUGGACGGCAACUGACACUCAGGGACGAAAGCUAGGGGAGCGAAUGGGAUUAGAUACCCCAGUAGUCCUAGCUGUAAACGAUGGAUACUAGGUGUAGCUUGUAUCGACCCGAGCUGUGCCGAAGCUAACGCGUUAAGUAUCCCGCCUGGGGAGUACGCACGCAAGUGUGAAACUCAAAGGAAUUGACGGGGGCCCGCACAAGCGGUGGAGUAUGUGGUUUAAUUCGAUGCAACGCGAAGAACCUUA
This 917-nucleotide ribosomal RNA is filed under the name uncultured organism. RNAcentral's name for it is "bacterial SSU rRNA". It matches the Rfam family "Bacterial small subunit ribosomal RNA", at positions 13 to 973 of the family's 1533-position model. The record is from RNAcentral.